Scylla paramamosain (green mud crab) is the source of this 1131-nucleotide long non-coding RNA. RefSeq lists it as uncharacterized. NCBI's taxonomy places the organism in Eukaryota, Metazoa, Arthropoda, Malacostraca, Decapoda, Portunidae. The transcript is spliced from 6 exons. The record is from RefSeq and is a predicted model, not a curated record.
UGUUUUAUUUAUUGUUUAUUGCAUAUAUAUGGCUUCAUUCCGCCAGAGAAUGGCGCUCUAGCCUCCAUAGACAUUACAAAUGUACAAUAAAAGUUGUUAAAAAGUAAACUACAACUAGGUAAAUACACACACACACACACACACUCAAACAACCCAACAAUAUAAUUAUAUUGCUAACUUUACACACGUGCGUGCCGCCAGGGAGGCCGGAGUGACCUGGGUCGAACGCGGGGGAGGCCGGAGUGACCGGGGCCGGAAAAACUAGGGGCCGGAGUGACCGGGGCCGGAAAAACUAGGGGCCGGAGUGACUUGCUACCGUAUCCUCGCCUGACCUGGUAACACUGCAAGAAAAAUACACAUCUGGCAAUGCAGACCUGCCAGACACCAGCCAGCCGGGGACCCCACGUCGACACUAGUGCUCUAACCUGACCAAAGAGUGCCGAUGUAAAGGACUGGCUUGUAAGAAAUCCUGAGCCUUCUGUAAGAUCAAGACCAAGAUCAAGAUAGGGCCUUCCGUAGGUCCGCUUUCUGAAGCACAGAGUCAACAUGUCUCCUCUAAUUUAAAACUUCUGAAGCACAUCCCUUUUUUUCUGUUCCCUCAACAAUGAUAGUAAUGCCUGACAGUUUUAAGCGCAGUGCAUCCCAUCAGUGGCAUUGGUGCAGUCACCCCUUCCAUCAACGCAGUCUUCGAGGAGAUCGACGCAGAGUGACGGCGUGGGGCUUGAUACAGAAACCAGUCAGAGGAUAGGGGCACUUUGAAGGCGAAGCACAAGUGGAUGGAUAUAAACCAGCCUCCAGCCAUUCAGCCUCCAGCCACUCAGCCAGCCAGCCAGCCUCUAUCCAGUCAGCUAGCCAGCCAGCCACCCUCGAGCCAACCAGCCAGCCAUCAACCCAGCAAGCCACCUAUCCAGCCUCAAGUGUCACGUAGCCUCACAUUCCACGUGACUGCCGCGUAAGGAGACGAGUCUGGUACGCACGCCCACGCCCACCGCUCUCCUCCCUGCCGCCUGACCGGCGCAGGAACGAGCCACUCAGCCCCUCUUGCCGGCUCCCACAGGCAUCAUCAUUAUUAAGACUCGGAAUAUUUUUGUAUUCGUGGCAUAAAAGACCAUGUUUUUUUUUUUUUUGUAC